Molecule: long non-coding RNA, 368 nt
Filed under: Pan troglodytes (chimpanzee)
Lineage: Eukaryota; Metazoa; Chordata; Mammalia; Primates; Hominidae
Description: long non-coding RNA NONPTRT000514
Source: RNAcentral
ACGGGAAAUGGUAAAAGGAGAAAGCAUUGCCUGGGAAUAAAACUUCAGCUGGCAGGAACUGAAGACAGCAUGCCCACCCUGUUGGUCUUCAAGCCUGUACCCACUGGCUGGACCUGCUUAGAUUCCUUAGGAGUCUUCCAAAGUCAGAUCACACUUCAGAAAUACAGAUGGGAAUUCUGAAGAUGGACUAAAAUGCCUACCUGUACCCUGGGUCUAAAGGUAGCUGAGGGGCAGUUUAUGGACAAGGUGUGGAGGAAGCCCAGGAUAUGCACAGCUGUGGGCACAAGGCUCUUCACAGUGUGGGCUGGAGCUGCAGCUCAGAAGGAGCACAGCAGUGUGGAUCUGGAGUCACACUCAGGACAGCGGGC